RNAcentral lists this long non-coding RNA (1255 nucleotides) under Homo sapiens (human). RNAcentral describes it as "HSALNT0181648". The record is from RNAcentral. Lineage: Eukaryota; Metazoa; Chordata; Mammalia; Primates; Hominidae.
AGUGAUCUGCCAGCCUCGGCCUCCCAAGGUGCGGGGAUUGCAGAUGGAGUCUCGUUCACUCAGUGCUCAAUGUUGCCCAGGCUGGAGUGCAGUGGCGUGAUCUCGGCUCACUACAACCUCCACCUCCCAGCCGCCUGCCUUGGCCUCCCAAAGGGCCGAGAUUGCAGCCUCUGCCCAGCCGCCACCCCGUCUGGGAAGUGAGGAGCGUCUCUGCCUGGCCGCCCAUCGUCUGGGAUGUGAGGAGCCCCUCUGCCCGGCUGCCCAGUCUGGGAAGUGAGGAGCACCUCUUCCCGGCCGCCAUCCCGCACCUCUUCCCGGCCGCCAUCCCGUCUGGGAAGUGAGGAGCGUCUCUGUCCUGCCGCCCAUCGUCUGAGAUGUGGGGAGCGCCUCUGCCCCGCCGCCCCGUCUGGGAUGUGAGGAGCGCCUCUGCCCAUCCGCGACCCUGUCUGGGAGUGGGUCUUUGGGAAGAGAUGUGUAAAGGAGAUGAGUCCUAGAAUUUGAGAGACUGAAGACGGACCUUGGGAAGAUAAUCCACCCCCCUCUGAAGUUUCACUUCCUAGGGGGCACCCACAGAGGAAGAGGGAAGCUCUCCUCCUCCUUCUAACAGCAACACAGCUGCAGGGAUGCAACAACUAAGCCCCUGCUUCCUGUUUCCUCUUUUAGACAUCUUGCCUGCCUCACCCUUGUCCUGGCCCUGCCUCUUCCUCUUCCUAACAUUCAAAUCUGACUCUAGUGUUGACUUUAUUCAGUCAUCCAUGUGUGAGACCCAACCUUUGCUAACAGGUGGCAACCUCUUUCAUGAAAUAUAAGGUGCCAUCAUUUGUAAAAUGCACCAUCAUGCUAUGUAUCACUAAGAAAGAAAUGCGUGUUGUCAAAUAAACUGUGAGAUGGCAUUGAUAGUAAGAUGCAUUUCGACUUCAGGGACGCUAAAAUGUGAACCAAUGUAGAAUUGAUGAAACACAAAUUCCACUCACUGAUUCCACCUCUUGUCCCCCCACCUCUUGUCCGCCAUCAUGUAUUUGAUGUUCAUCAGCUGCUUCUCUGGGACUGAGUCACCUCAGACCUCUAGUUUCCCCUCACUCUGAAAUUCCUGACUCCCUCUAGCUGUUGGCUAAAAAGAGAAGAAGAAAAGUAUUCCUGUUCUCAAUCCUCUCAGCCUUCUCCAUCCUAAAGAGCUGGUCUGGUGAAAACCUUGAAACCAGGGAAGGCUGGGUCCAAGGGGCCAAGGAGUCAAGGGGUGUGGGGGAAUAUUUGC